Molecule: long non-coding RNA, 1082 nt
Filed under: Pan troglodytes (chimpanzee)
Lineage: Eukaryota; Metazoa; Chordata; Mammalia; Primates; Hominidae
Description: long non-coding RNA NONPTRT002565
Source: RNAcentral
GAGCAGAACGCGUUUGCGCUCUAUGUCCCUCCGCAGCCCCUCCACCGUCCUCUCUGCCCCCAAAGGUACCUCCCCACCUCCACUUUAGUCUCACCCCUAAGUACCCCGAAGAAAGCCAAUAUUUCCUUCUCUCCGCAGCAUCCCAGAUAUUAACUGUUCUAUCUCAAUGGUUUUCAGAUUUUAUCUUGCCUCUUGGGUACCCUUUGGGACCCUUAUGUCAUCCCCACCAUCAGGGCACCCAGACUUAACCCUAACUGCAAGUCCCAGACUCACUCUGGUCCUUAUUGAUGAGCCAGGUGUCCUUGGAGUCAAGUGGCUCACUGUCACCGAUUUCAUUCCGAGCCACCACUCUGAAGUAGUACUUCCUGCCUGGGAGCAGCCCCGUCACUGUGUACUUGUUGCUGAAGACACGCUCGGCUGCUGUGUACCAGGUGGCUGUGCUUGCAUCCCGCUUCAUGAUGACAUAGUGAGCCUCAUUGUCCUCCUGCACAUCUGGGCUGUGGUUCCAGCCAUCUGCCAAGUCCGAUGGAAGAUAAGAUGGGACAAGUCUCAGGCAGCUGGUGUCUUGGAGUCGGAAAACUAUUUCUGAAGUCUGCUCUGCCAUUUACUAGCCUCGUGACCUGGGGCCAUACAGACAUCUAGCUGCCCUGCAACACUGUGAAGCAUUUAUUUGUUUUCUCAUCUGUCUCCUUCUACUAGUACGCAAGACCCUGGAAGGCAAGUCCUUGUGUCUUGUUUCUAUAUCCCUAACACCUCCUUUUGAAAUUGCCAUUGCAACAAUUAUAACAGCGAGAAAAUUAUGACAGUGAACAAGAUCUGAUCUAACCAACCCCCAUCUUGCCUUUAACCUCCAAACUGCCCUUAAUCAUUCCUGGUUUCAGACCAAGCUAAUGUUGGGAGAGACAUUUAGUUUAUAGCUUAGAUGGUAACAGUCUUCCCCCAAACUAAAUCACCUUUGCGAAGCUAAUGAAAGGCCACCAGGUUAGGAGGAUGUGAGAAGCCUGAAUUCUGCUAAGGUGUAGACAUAAAAGAUUACCAGCCAUUAUUCCAUAGAUCACAAGAUUUGCAACUCCCCAGCUGCU